AGACAAUCUCUAGUUGUGGAGUAUAUUUCUUGAGCUGGCUUAGAUGACCCUAGACUCCAAACCUCCAGCUCUGCUCCUAUGGCAGAACAAAGAAGAGAAUCAGAACCUAGAGAGAGGAACUUCUAUGACUCUCCUCAUAGGAAUAUCCUUUGAGGUUUCCUUCCUCACCUUAAACCAGCCAUGCAUCAUCAGAGAACCCUCAGCUGCUUAUCCUGAAGGACCCCGUUGACUUGGCUGGAAUAUUUACCAUAAACACAACGAUUCAACAUUCAAGGGCAGUCACCUCAGUUAGAGACUUUUCGUGAUAGUGUGGUGAAGAAAAUGAAAUGGAGUCAUAUAAAUGAGAGUUUCUAAAUGGAAAGGAAAGGCCAUUCUGAGGGAAAUGCCACCUACAUGAUGAGAAGGAGCCAAGCCAUGGAAAGACCAGGGAAGAGGAUCCCAGGAGAAGAAAGAGCAAGCCUGUUGGAAAAAAGGAACACGAUUAACAUGGUCUCCACUCAUCCGUCUACAGAGAGUUUUAUGCAAAUAAGAUAAACAUCUUGCCUGCAGUGUCUGCACUAUGCAUACAUUAGGUAAAUACCUGCCAUUUUUUAUUCCUGCUUCAAAUCUGUUAAUAAAUGCUUACUUUCCAAUUAAAGUAGAUAAAACAUUUCAUGAAAUAGCAAUUGAGAGGUGCCUGAAUGGCUCAGUCGGUUAAGCAUCCAACUUCAGCU
Long non-coding RNA from Leopardus geoffroyi (Geoffroy's cat), 713 nucleotides. RefSeq lists it as uncharacterized. The record is from RefSeq and is a predicted model, not a curated record. The transcript is spliced from 3 exons. NCBI's taxonomy places the organism in Eukaryota, Metazoa, Chordata, Mammalia, Carnivora, Felidae.